RNAcentral lists this long non-coding RNA (1049 nucleotides) under Homo sapiens (human). Its description in RNAcentral is "HSALNT0315980". Lineage: Eukaryota; Metazoa; Chordata; Mammalia; Primates; Hominidae. The record is from RNAcentral.
AGCUUGGAGCCGCAGGGCUUAAUCCCGCGCGGCUCAGAGAUGGGUUUCUGGACUCGCGAAGCAGCUGCAACAAGGCAUCACUCACUGUAUAAGUAUUUCCAUUUCUGAGAGCAAAAGGAAGAACUUAAGCGGGCGGCACUUGGAGUGUAAAUUGCUUUGUAGUAUUUAAAGGCAGAAUGGAUCCUGGGCAGCCGAGCUGCAACAAACCGGCAGGACUUCCUGUGAAAUCAUGACCACCAUGUGCUCUUUCAGCCUCUAUCAGUUCCUACCUCUAAGCACCUGAGAGCCAAAGCAAACCACAGGAAACCACAGACUCAAACUAAACGUCAGCUUUUCCCGGCUCUCAAGCCUGCUGGUCCCUGAACUAAAACUCACAUUAUCAACUCUACUGGUUCUUAGGCCUUUGGAGUCAGACUGGAACUACAGCAUUGACUCUUCCGGAACUCCAGCUUACUGACUACAGAUCUUGGAACUUUUCAGCUUCCACAACCAUAAUGAAAGCCAAGCAUAUUCCAUCAUUUCCUAAAACCAAGAUAGAGCACAUAUGGGAACUUGUGAAAUAAGGAUGCCCUGCGGUUGUUUUCAGGACUGAAGACAACAGCUCCACGAUGAAACCAAAGCACAAAGAGAGAAAGAAAAGAAAGAGAAAAAAGGAAGAAAGAAAAGAAAGAUGAAAGAAAGAAAGAGAAAGAAGAGAGAGGGAGAGAGAGAAAGAAAGAGAAGGAAAGAAAGAAGGAAGAAGAAAGAAAGAAAGAAAGAAAGAAAGAAAGAAAGAAAGAAAGAAAGAAAGAAAGAAAGAAAGAAAGAAAGAAAAAAGGAAGGAAGGAAAAGAAACACAUGGAAAGUGCUUCUUUGGACCUUUUAAGUUGCAUUAUCCCAUAAAAUGUGGUGGAUUCAAUGUUGUAUGGCCUGUAAAACUAAGUAAUGAAGGCUGAUAUGUACCCACCUGGCUCUGUCUUGGGAUCACACAACUUGGGAGCCAAAACAGAUUGCAAAUGAUGUUCAAAUCAAGGACUGGCUUAAGGGAGAAAAUCAAUUAUACUGUACAA